GGAGGGGUGUCCGAGCGGCCGAAGGUGACAGACUCGAAAUCUGUUGUAGCGCAAGCUACCGGGAGUUCGAAUCUCCCCCCCUCCGCCA
Molecule: transfer RNA, 88 nt
Filed under: Desulfuromonadales bacterium
Lineage: Bacteria; Pseudomonadati; Thermodesulfobacteriota; Desulfuromonadia; Desulfuromonadales
Also listed under: 1 other name
Description: tRNA-Ser
Rfam family: tRNA
About the family: Transfer RNA (tRNA) molecules are approximately 80 nucleotides in length. Their secondary structure includes four short double-helical elements and three loops (D, anti-codon, and T loops).
Source: RNAcentral